UCUAAUUGAAUUAGGAUCCAAUUGAUUUCAUAAUUAGUCUAAGAUCUAAUUUAUUUAUUUAUUUUAUAAUUAUUUUUUAAGUUAGUUAGGAUUGGAUCCAAGAAUUAGUUAGAGUUUGAUCAAGAUUCAUGUGCCCUAUUUGGAAUAGGGCUAAACCAACUAAACCCCAUCUAUUUAAGUGAUCCUCCAUGCCUCCACUCCCUUUCACCAUGGAAUAUAUCAUGCCCCACC
RNAcentral lists this long non-coding RNA (231 nucleotides) under Elaeis guineensis (African oil palm). RNAcentral describes it as "long non-coding RNA (EGUI_LNC034822)". Lineage: Eukaryota; Viridiplantae; Streptophyta; Magnoliopsida; Arecales; Arecaceae. The record is from RNAcentral.